CACGCCGUAAACGAUGAGUGCUAGGUGUUAGGGGGUUUCCGCCCCUUAGUGCUGGCGUUAACGCAUUAAGCACUCCGCCUGGGGAGUACGGCCGCAAGGCUGAAACUCAAAAGAAUUGACGGGGACCCGCACAAGCGGUGGAGCAUGUGGUUUAAUUCGAAGCAACGCGAAGAACCUUACCAGGUCUUGACAUCCCACUGACCGCUCUAGAGAUAGGGCUUUCCCUUCGGGGACAGUGGUGACAGGUGG
Molecule: ribosomal RNA, 249 nt
Filed under: uncultured Bacillaceae bacterium
Lineage: Bacteria; Bacillati; Bacillota; Bacilli; Caryophanales; Bacillaceae
Description: partial 16S ribosomal RNA
Rfam family: Bacterial small subunit ribosomal RNA
Source: RNAcentral